This 623-nucleotide ribosomal RNA is filed under the name Ciliophora sp. RNAcentral's name for it is "SSU rRNA". It matches the Rfam family "Eukaryotic small subunit ribosomal RNA", at positions 341 to 980 of the family's 1831-position model. Lineage: Eukaryota; Ciliophora. The record is from RNAcentral.
CUACCAUGGCAAUAACGGGUAACGGAGAAUUAGGGUUCGAUUCCGGAGAGGGAGCCUGAGAAACGGCUACCACAUCUAAGGAUGGCAGCAGAGGCGUAAAUUACCCAAUCCUGACUCAGGGAGGUAGUGACAAGAAAUAACGAACCGUGACUAUGUUACGGGAUUGCAAUGAACUGAUUUUUUUUCCCUUGGUGAGGAACAAUUGGAGGGCAAGUCUGGUGCCAGCAGCCGCGGUAAUUCCAGCUCCAAUAGCAUAUAUUAAUGUUGUUGCAGUUAAAAAGCUCGUAGUUGGAUUUCUGCAGGAGUGCCAAUGUCCGACCACGUUCGUGUGCAGCGGCGCCCCUGCAUCCUUCGGUUACCUCCGCUCGGCAUUCACUUGCCGGCGGUUGGCUCCGAAUAUUUACCUUGAGAAAAUUAGAGUGUUUCAGGCAGGCUUGUCCGGAAUACAUUAGCAUGGAAUAAUAGAAUAGGACUACGGUCUCGUUGUUGGUUUGAGGGACUGGAGUAAUGAUUAAUAGGGAUAGUUGGGGGCAUUAGUAUUUAAUUGUCAGAGGUGAAAUUCUCAGAUUAACUAAAGACUAACUUAUGCGAAAGCAUUUGCCAAGGAUGUUUUCAUUAAUCAA